Molecule: long non-coding RNA, 456 nt
Filed under: Prunus dulcis (almond)
Lineage: Eukaryota; Viridiplantae; Streptophyta; Magnoliopsida; Rosales; Rosaceae
Description: sRNA ncRNA
Source: RNAcentral
UCCCUGACGCCACUCAUCAUUUUCUCUUCCCGCAACUUCUCUACCUCAACAAAAUUGAGGUUGAAAAACUGAAGCUCCAAGAAGUGUAUUUUCUUGAUUGAAAAAACUGAAACUCCAAGAUCUGAUUGGACCCAACAACAAAAAGAAAAUAACGUAUUUUUAGAAUUUCUUCCUACCCAACUCUGGAAACCCCUCUCCUCCAACUCAUCGUCGUCCAUUGCACUGCCCCCAACCCAGCAACAUCAAUGGCUCCCUCUCACAUCUCUGCCCCCAACCCCAGCAACAUCUAUUGGUUUAUUAAAAAAAAAAACCCAUAUAUGGAUUUGGUUGUUGAAGAAAGAGAGGGGAAAGAGAGAAAAAUAGGGAGAGAGAAAGAAGGAGGAGGAGAGGGGGGCUUGGUUGUCGAAUGAACAAGAGGGAGAGUGGGGAAGAGAGGACGGAAGGGGUAGGAUUUGG